AGAAAAUAGUGGGGUGAACUGUCCAACUUUGACUGGUUACAUGAUGAGUAAAACAAAAAAUCACCAUCUUUCGGCUGACAGGUGUGAUGAUUUGUUUUUUUCU
RNAcentral lists this small nucleolar RNA (103 nucleotides) under Serinus canaria (Common canary). The record is from RNAcentral. Lineage: Eukaryota; Metazoa; Chordata; Aves; Passeriformes; Fringillidae.